UCAGAUGCAGCGGGAAGCCGGAAUGGAGCGAAUGGGGAUGGAGCCAGUGGUGCCAUGGGUGCCUCCGCUGGGAACUCUGGUCGAUGCCCGAGGCGGGGUAAAGGUACUCUCUGUGUUGUCAUAGGCCCUCUCGAAUGGUGCCUUCCAGAGUGGGUGGUCUUACCGCUACCCCUGCGUGGUACAUCCCAGGACCGAACGGUUUCAUGUGGCGCGCCCCUUGGUGGUGAGCCUGGGGAACAGCCGAUGUAGAUGCCGGUGGACCGUUAGAGGAUGGAUGAUCCUCCAAGGGUGGAAGGGCAACGUGAGGAUGAAAACCCCGCGGAUUGCUGCAAUCUUGGACUCGGAAAAAUGUCUCCAUAAACUGAAGAUUACUUCUCUGUAGUGGCCACUAUCUUAACAGGAAGCAUGGAAAGCAUUUUCUGUGUGCUGGGCGUUGUGCUUGUUUGUGCUUUCCUGUUUAAUGCAGAGCAGGUCUCAAUGUAGAAAGCCAGGCACAGUCCCCCAGCGGGCAGGGGAGAGAAAGCUUCGGACUGGGAUCUGAAGGUCUGGAGUGGGGAAGGCCUCUGUCGUUGACUGCGAGUAAUAUGUGAGAAGGACAACAGGACUUUCCAUUCUGUUAGGAAAGGGGUCAACUCCGAGGGGACCCAAGGAUACUGCAUAGGUGAGAUAAAGACCAUGGCUUUGUCACCAUCUUGUCACCCCUGAGUAUGUUUCCUAGCGGAAUCCUCAGCCUGUCUAACUAUGCCUCUCUCAACAAGUUUAAAUUUGCUUAAUCAUUCCGACAUUCAUUCAUCCUCUCCACAGUUUCUGUCAAGCACAACUAUGUGUGUUAGGAAAGAGAAAAUCAACCUUGGCUUCAUGGAACUUACAUUGUGUUGGGGUCAUACAGCCCCAAAAGAUAAUUUAUCAGAUGUUCAUAACGGCUAUGGUUAACGUUAAACCGGGGUAGUGAAAUAGAGGGGAUGAUAUCUAGAAAGAGUGGCCAGAGACCUUCCUUCUAAGAUCGUGACAUUUGAGCAAAAGCCUAGAGGAGAUGCCUAUCUGGUAGAAAAGUGUCCCAGACAGAGUUAAGGCCAGUGGAAAAACUGGGGAGUGGAACUCAGUGUAGAGUGUAUGAAAAGAAUGAGGAGGGCUAUGUGACUGCCAUAGCAUGAUGGAGGGAGAGCCGGGAGAUCCGAGGAGAGCCGUGAUGAGGGGCGGGUCCCCUAGGGCCUUCUGCCAUAGGGGGCACCUUGACCUGAUCCACAGGAGGGUUCUUACCAGAGAAGCCCCCAGGGUUCUUUCAGAGGCUCAGAUCACACAAUGAUUGUUGAGGAGCUCUAGAUUCAUCCCAGGAAAUCCACAGACCCUCUGCAGUUGAACAUGCCUUUCCUGGAAUCCGCUACACUCAAGGGGAAUCCCCCCUACUGCUCCCAGUGGAGACAGAGGAAGGACCCUCACGGUAUGAGUGAGGUCACAGUCAGUCUUGUAAAGGCAAAAAAGGAGGAUGUAACAGGCACAGAGAUGGCAGAGAGAAAGACAAAGAUAGAACAUUGGAGAGGAACAGAGAGACUAUUUCUAGCAGCAAAGGAUUCCCAAUUAGCACCCACCUAUGGGCCCCAUUGCUUUUUCGAUGAUCCCACAGAUGUAGGCAAUUUCAUCUCUAGUUCCUCUGCCUUUUCUAAAACCAGCUUGAACAUCUGGAAGUUCACGGUUUAUGUAUUGCUGAAGCCUGGCUUGGAGAAUUUUGAGCAUUACUUUACUAUCGUGUGAGAUGAGUGCAAUUGUGCAGUAGUUUGAGCAUUCUUUGGCGUUGCCUUUCUUUGGGUUUGGAAUAAAAACUGACUUUUUCCAGUCCUGUGGGCACUGCUGAGUUUUCCAGAUUUGCUGGCAUAUUGACUGCAGCACUUUCACAGCAUCCUCUUUCAGGAUUUGAAAUAGCUCAACUGGAAUUCCAUCACCUCCACUAGCUUUGUUCGUAGUGAUACUAUGCCAAAGCCUUUGACUGUGUGCAUCACAAUAAACUGUGGAAAAAUUCUGAAAGAGAUGGAAUAGCAGACCACCUGACCUGCCUCUUGAGAAACCUGUAUGCAGGUCAGGAAGCAACAGUUAGAACUGGACAUGGAACAACAGACUGGUUCCAAAUAGGAAAAGGAGUAUGUCAAGGCUGUAUAUUGUCACUCUGCUUAUUUAACUUAUAUGCAGAGCACAUCAUGAGAAAUGCUGGGCUGGAUGAAGCACAAGCUGGAAUGAAGAUUGCCGGGAGAAAUAUCAAUAACCUCAGAUAUGCAGAUGACACCACCCUUAUGGCAGAAAGUGAAGGGGAACUAAAAAGCCUCUUGAUGAAGUGAAAGAGGAGAGUGAAAAGGCUGGCUUAAAGCUCAACAUUCAGGAAACUAAGAUCAUGGCAUCUGGUUCCAUCACUUCAUAGCAAAUAGAUGGGGAAACAGUGGAAGCAGUGUCAGACUUUAUUUUUUGGGGGGGCUCCAAAAUCACUGCAGAUGGUGACUGCAGCCAUGAAAUUAAAAGACGCUUACUCCUUGGAAGGAAAGUUAUGACCAACCUAGACAGCAUAUUAAAAGCAGAGACUUUACUUUUCCAACGAAGAUGCAUCUAGUCAAGACUAUGGUUUUUCCAGUGGUCACGUAUGCAUGUGAGAGUUGGACUGUGAAGAAAGCUGAGAGCUGAAAAAUUUAUGGUUUUGAACUGUGGUCUUAGAGAAGACUCUUGAGAGUCCCCUGGAUUGCAAAGAGAUCCAGCCAGUCCAUCCUAAAGGAGAUCAGUCCUGGGUGUUCAUUGGAAGGACUGAUGCUGAAGCUGAAACUCCAAUACUUUGGCCACCUCAUGCGAAGAGUUGACUCAUUGGAAAAGAUCCUGAUGCUAGGAGGGAUUGGGGGCAGGAGCAGAAGGGGACAAUAGCGGAUGAGAUGGCUGGAUGGCAUCACCGACUCGAUGGACAUGAGUUUGAGUAAACUCCAGAAAUUGGUGAUGGACAGGGAGGACUGGCAUGCUGUGGUUCAUGGUGUCGCAAAGGGUCAGACACGACUGAGUGACUGAACUCAACUGAAGUGAUGGGCCCCCAGCCCUGCUACUGGAUGAGGUACCUAUCUCUACAGGAGAAAAGAAGCUGCUCCCCCUCCCUGCACCCCCCUCCCCACCAGGGACUGUCUCUAGGAAAUGACUCAGUUGCCCGUGGCCUGGCUCUUGAUCAUACUCUCUUGGCACACAUCAGGGUCCUCUGCCCUGUCAAGACAUGGAGAUGAUCCAGUCAUGGGGAGGCUCAUGCUGUACACAGGGUCCCUCACAACCCCUCCAGCCCUGACUGCCCUCCUGCUGACCUCAGUUCCAAUGAAUGCUUUAGUGGGGGAAAGAGAGGCAGGGAUCACUGCAUUCAUGGUGGAGCCUCAUGCAAAUUGGUGAAUGUGAAGUUUCUCCCCACCUGCUUGGAGGCUCACCUCUGUAUUUUCCACCACCACGUCCCCAAGGAAUGUGCAGAUUACAUUUGAUGCAUCAGGUAAGCAGCUGGGUGUGUGAUGGGGAGACACAGAACAUAUCCUGAUAGUGAGACAGUCACGGGGUCCUUGUGGCCCUGUGCCAACGCCCCCCUCCCCCACUACCUGGCCAGGGUUCUGCUGGGUCUUCCCUGCCUCCUCCAAGGAGCCCAAGCCUGCAUCCAGUUCCUCCUGUCCUCAUGAGCCGAGACCCUCCAUCUGCACUGAGCCUUGGGCUCCCAUCUGCAAAUAGUGGCCCCUUUGCCGUGGGUUGGGCAGAUUGUCUGAGUGAGUGUGUGUUUUCUGUGGGUUCUGUGAGGUACUCAACUUUUCUUCCAAUAAAUUUGUUUUUGUUUUUUUCGAAGUUAACCUUGACUGACACCAAGGACUUGAGCUAUUUUAGACUUUAGACCACUCAUUUGGUACAAUGAGUGAGAAGUAGGUAACUGACAUUUACAGAAAAGGGGUGGGAGUGCGGUGAGGAAUUUGGGCUUGGUUAUCUGGCCUAAUUUUGGCUUGAUUAUCUGCCCUAAGUCAUGUUGAAAGCAGGGUUGGGAAUUUGGCAGUCUAUGAGUGCAGUGUUGAAAUCAUUUUUUAAAUGGUCGUGUAAUACAGUAAACUGAUGGCAAUCAUUAACUCUGGGGAGAGAAGGGAUGAGGUGAGCAAUGCACCUGGAUAUGUGGUUGGUAGGGUCUUUUAAAGCAAAAGAUCCAUGUCUUACAAGAGGACAUCUAAGCAAAAAUGACAAGAAGUUAGGUACUUUUGAGGGACGAAUCAAUAGUAUCUGGAAUGAAAUUCAAUUUGAAAGCUGCUACAGAAUGGUGAAGGGAAAGGAAGGGAUGUUGCUCAGUCAUGUCCGACUCUGUGCAACCCCAUGGGCCUACCACGCUCCUCCAUCCAUGGGAUUUUCCAGGCAAGAGUACUGGAGUGGGUUGCCAUUUCCUUCUCCAGAGGAUCUUCCCAAAUCAGGGAUCGAACCUGGGUCUCCCGCAUGGUAGGCAGACGCUUUACCAUCUGAGCCACCAGGGAAAUCCUACAGAAUGGUAGGAAGGGCCUAAAAAUUUCAAAGAUUGCAGGGUGGCCUGUUUAAUGAAAGGAAACCAUCAUCAAUCCCUUAGGUGAUCAGCUCAAGAUUCACCUUGAAACCUCCAAAACCAUGUUCCAAAUUUAUGUCUUAUAGUCACAGUGCUCAUUCAUGUAGCUGGACAAGUUGCAAAUUUGGUUUCCAACUUCAGGGUGUGUUGCAUUCAUAUCCUCACCAGAUUUGUUAUGUGGAUGUUAAAGAAUGAAUUGGUAAUAUGGUUGUAGAUGCAGAAGUUUUUAUUGCAAACAUUAUGUUUGCUCAUAGUCUUAUGCUGCCAUUUUUCUUUCCGUCACAUAAAUUUAAAGCUUCUCAUGUCUGUUUUUGUUUCUGGUGUUGAUAACUAAUUAAAUUCCAGUGCUUGGCUUUGAAAACUUCCUAACUCCUAGUAGGAGAUCUCUCACUGUGGUAAGAAGUAGGAAAUAGAUGCAGAAAACAGAAAUUAUUCUGAAUCAUAACCUGUUCCUGUACUGGUUAUUUUGAAGAAAGGAUCCUGAGAGACAGAGUUCAGAGAUAUUUGUUUGGCAGGACCUGAGAAAUUUAUCUUUUACCCAAGAAUGAUCUGUAAUUCUGAUUGGUUGUCCUUCAUAAUAAUUUCUUGCCCCUUUAGUACUAUUUAAAUAAAUCUCUCUCUUUUUUGUAAGGUGCAUAUAUUUGCGAGUUUCUCCUUUACCCAGAAGAGGAGCACUGACUCUCACAUUUACUUGUCUGGCAGUAAAAAGAAAAAACAAAAUAACCUAUGACUGUUGAGGUUCUUCUUGAGAUGAAGUUUGCAAGUCGAUGCCUCAUUUAAAGUAUCAGGACUAACUAUAUUAUGGGAGGCUUUAGAAGACUUGAAGCAUCUCCAGGCCCAAACCCAAAUGAACCUUCCUUGGUAGCCUGAACAUGUCUUCUUCCCUUGUGUGAUGAGGUUGUUCCUACCUUGGCGGAGUUUGCUGAUGUAUUAUCUUGUAAGGAAAUCUCUAGUCUCUUCGUAUCUUGACAUUCCCUAUUGCCUUUAAACCUAUAACUAUAGUGGAUCCCACUCGGGGGAAGUGUGGUUAUAAUGUUAUAUCUUGUAGUUAGAGUUAACAUAUAGAAAAAAGAACUAGAGGUACUUGCUAGUUUGCAUCUCAUUGUCUGGGUAAUAUACUUGGAAAAGGAUUCUGGGGAGCCACUCACUGACCAAGGAAGGAAAGAUACUUCGGAUCAGGAGACUGUUAUCAAUAUGAGUGUGCCUAAGAGAGGAUCUAGAUUAAAUGUAGUGGGUCAGUCAGAUGAUUAUUUUGACUCCUUACAUUAUCACAUCGUACUCCUCAAUAUACCAACAUCUGUGGUGUUACUGAAUGCUUUGUACAAUGUCAUAGUACCUUGCUCGAUACUAGUCCUGAACAAAGAAAUUGUUUUAUAACCCAUGUGGAAUUACUGAUCUUAUUUUAGAAUAUAUCUUAUUAUCCAGAAGCAGUUAGUUUUAUACAAUAUCUGAAUAAUUUACUGACGUUCCAGCGAUAGCAUCUUUUUAGCAACUAACAAGUCUCCCUCUCUCGCAUAGAAUGUAGUCACAGACCUAUAGUUAUUUUUGUUUCAUUUUGUUAUUUCAUUUUAACUCUGCUUGGGCCUUUGUGUCAAUUUGUAGGCUCCACUGUUUAGUCUCUGUUCCUGCUCACUCCCCUGCUGCUCCUCUCUGAUCCUUUGGACUGUUUUCUCUUCCACCCUUCACCCCCAUCCUAUUCCUGUAUGAUGUGAUGUUUGAUAUGCUGCUACUUUGGCUGCUGUUUGCCGUUCAGUGUUUAUACCAAGGCAAAGCUCUUUGCUUCGCCCCUUUUAAAUCUGUUCAGUUUUGUUGUUGAAUAUACCAGCACAGGGUGUAUAGUUUCCUAAGACUAUUGCAAAACAAGAACUGACUUAGAGAAACUCUAGGAAUAAACUAACUACCCUGCCUUCCAAGUCAAAUGAUCAGGAGAAUGGGGUCGUUAAUAUCAAUGGUGAUACUUUGCAGAUAAGUGCUUAGCUGCAUGCCAAGGUGAAGCUAAAGACCAGCAGCAGCAUCUUGGAGUCCUCUUAUCAAGGAGCCUCCCUUGAUGGCCUAGAGCUGGAAACACUUUUCCCACUGAGGCACAGAGGAGGAAUCUGCUGAGUCCACUUGGACCAGGGGCCCUCAGAAGCAUUCGGAGACCAGUGAGGACUAUCAAGUGUUGAGCACAGUUGGGUCUCCUAAGAAAGUGGGAAUGAUAAAGCUACUGUGUGUGCGCCAUUUCUGCACCUGAAACCCAGACUGCCUGGAGGAUAAAGGACUGAAGAAUAUGAUGCCACCUGAAAGAAGGGCGUGUUGGGUUGCAGUUGGUGGGAGGCAAAGCUUGGGAAGCUGCUUGAGAAUUAAAACUUGGCUUCUAGGGCUCGUUGGCCUCCACAGAGCAAGAGAGGAAAAACUCCUAAUAAGUAUGAAAAUUCCAGUUAUCAUAGAAUAAAAAGAAGAAUAUGCUCCUGGAGAAGAGUGAAGAAAUAGCUACAGAAGGAAUGAAAAGGCUAAGCCAAAGUGGAAACAAUGCCCAGUUGUGGAUGUGUCUGGUGGUGAAAGUAAAGUCCGAUGCUAAAAGAACAAUAUGGCAUAAGAGCCAGAGGUGUAGUCAGAGAAAUCAGUUGCCGGUUCAGAGAUUUAAAUGUGCAGUGCUCCAAGCAAUAAAAGGAAACAGAGGUAUGCAUUUAUGUGUUUAUUCCAUGGAAGUGAGUAAAGCCAUUGCCAGCAUGACGGAAAACCCAGAAGCAGAGAAGGGAAUGGUUCAUCAAAACAUGUAUAAAAAUAGGUAUUAAAAACCGCAAUGUCUAGUUCUGUCAUGAGUGUCUUUCUGAGACACAUUCUCCACUAAGGGUAACCUGGGACUACCUAUCACCACAGUUUGUGGAUGCAUAAGAAAGACUGCACUGGAAGGAAAAAAACACAGUCUUCAAGCCCCUUUUCUCAUCCUCCGGAGACUCUGUGGUUCCAGGACUCUACCUCAGUAGCCGGAAAUCCUCAACCUGCACUGCACUCGCCCAACACAGGGAGCAUGCGCAGGGCGUGCGCUCCCCUUGGCGCACAUGCAGCUUGGUGCCCAGACGCCUUCCUGAGGGUAUUCUGUGAGGAGCGUUGGGCCUCAGACGGACGUGUUUAUUCAGUCCCGGUUCUUUCUGACUACUUGAGACGCACCAGGGGGAAAUAUGAGUGGGCAAGUGCCAUCAACAUUGGGACCUACAGGUCAAGAUUCCUCCCAGUUGGAUGAACCUGUGGUUGACCCGCAGCCCAGUGUUGAGCAACCUCAAGAAGGGGAACCACCAGCUGAGAAUCAGGAUAUCACACCUGGAAAGGAGGAAGUAAACGGAGAGGAUCCAGUGAAUCAUGAUGAAGAGAAGGGGAAGGAUGCCUCUGGAGUUUCUGACCUGGAAACUGAUCUCCAGGAUUUGGCUGAGGCAAAGACUGGGGGUGAAGGUGGAGAUGGUCCUGAUAUCAAGGAGGAGAUUGCAUCAAAUAUAGAGCCUGUUGAAAUGCCAAAAGCAGGUGAAGGGCAACCAUUUGCUUGAAAGAAGUUAAACUGAAACCAUCUAUGCUGGUCUUAUAUUGUGUGUUUGACUGUUACAGUUCUGUCAAUAAAGUUUCUUUUUCUACUUGCA
RNA transcript from Dama dama (fallow deer), 8178 nucleotides. It is a transcript of the gene named X antigen family member 5-like, with no coding region annotated. Lineage: Eukaryota; Metazoa; Chordata; Mammalia; Artiodactyla; Cervidae. The record is from RefSeq and is a predicted model, not a curated record. The transcript is spliced from 6 exons.